GGAACUUUCCGCAAUGGGCGAAAGCCUGACGGAGUAACGCCGCGUGAGGGAUGAAGGCCUCUGGGCUGUAAACCUCUUUUAUCAAGGAAGAAGAUCUGACGGUACUUGAUGAAUAAGCCACGGCUAAUUCCGUGCCAGCAGCCGCGGUAAUACGGGAGUGGCAAGCGUUAUCCGGAAUUAUUGGGCGUAAAGCGUCCGCAGGCGGUCUUGUAAGUCUGUUGUUAAAGCGUGGAGCUUAACUCCAUUUCAGCAAUGGAAACUGCAAGACUAGAGUGUGGUAGGGGCAGAGGGAAUUCCCGGUGUAGCGGCGAAAUGCGUAGAUAUCGGGAAGAACACCAGUGGCGAAGGCGCUCUGCUGGGCCAUAACUGACGCUCAUGGACGAAAGCCAGGGGAGCGAAAGGGAUUAGAUACCCCAGUAGUC
Molecule: ribosomal RNA, 422 nt
Filed under: uncultured cyanobacterium
Lineage: Bacteria; Bacillati; Cyanobacteriota
Description: bacterial SSU rRNA
Rfam family: Bacterial small subunit ribosomal RNA
Source: RNAcentral